UGUUUAGUCAUCUACACCAAGCAAUGUGGAUUCCAUUUUGCACUCACAGAUAUUCUUGAAGAGAAACUUGUCAAGACUCUCGUUAGCGACAUACUCAUAAACCAAUAGCUUUUGCGUUCCAUGUGCACAGUAUCCUAACAAAUUUACAACAUUCCGGUGCUGGACUCGUGCCAGGAGCUUAGCCUCAUUCAUGAACUCUUUCUUCCCUU
This 209-nucleotide unclassified non-coding RNA is filed under the name Hevea brasiliensis (rubber tree). The record is from RNAcentral. Lineage: Eukaryota; Viridiplantae; Streptophyta; Magnoliopsida; Malpighiales; Euphorbiaceae.